RNAcentral lists this long non-coding RNA (374 nucleotides) under Zonotrichia albicollis (white-throated sparrow). RNAcentral's name for it is "lncRNA (ENSZALG00000011530.1)". The record is from RNAcentral. Lineage: Eukaryota; Metazoa; Chordata; Aves; Passeriformes; Passerellidae.
CCCAGGGGAAGAGGUGUGUGGUACAGCUACUCUGCUUGCACAGUGAUGUGUGGGAGCUUAAAGAUGGACCUAGCAGAUAGCACUGGCUGGAAUCCAGAUGGAAGUGAGCAUACCCUACUUUGAUCUUUCUGAUGCUGUAAUUGAAUAUUUCUAGAAGACUGCAGUUGCAUCAUAUGUAGCCUGGAAGAAUGACAAUAAAGUACAAUGAACAUUUGAGAGACAUCUUACGGGAAGUUUUCUCAGCCUGUGCCCAAGAUCUCCAGCUACAUCCACCUUGUGGCAUCCUGAAAUAACCUGGAGGUCAGGAACUCAGUGCACAACAUAAUUCAGUAAAGAGACUGAAGAACUUCUAGCAAAAGUGUUCAAGCUAUGGG